GUUGAGGUUAAGGUAAUGAUAUAUAUCAUCGUGUACUAGCUACGCAAAACUAGAAUUUGGAAAAGGAACCAAACUGACAGUUUUAGCCACAAAUGUGACUGAACCUAAAGUCAAGAUCCUGCCACCUUCUCCAAAAGAACUCUGUUCUCAGAAUAAGAAAGAUAAAAAACUCUCAACUUUAGUGUGUGUGGCGACCGGCUUUUAUCCCGAUCAUGUGAUCAUGAGCUGGAAAGUGAACGACCAAGAGAGAAAGGACAAUAUAUCGACGGACCACAUAGCCAUACAGGACAAGACGACAUUAAUGUACAACAUCAGCAGCAGAAUGAAAGUUUAUGUCUCAGAAUGGAUGGAUCCCAUCAAUAAAUUCACCUGCACUGUCCAAUUCUACAACGGAGAUCAUUAUAUCAAUGUCAGCAACACCAUCAAAGGUCAAAAAGUGAGGCCGAAGGGAUUGAAGCUGGUUGGCUUUGGCUACAUCGUGUUUCUCAGCAAGAGCUUCCUGUAUGCACUGGUUGUGUUUGCUAUGAUCUGGAAACUCAAGUUUUCAAUGAAGACAAAAGAAAUUCCAGAAGAGUGAGAUACAUCGAACCUGUCCAAAAAUCUA
Molecule: non-coding RNA, 604 nt
Organism: Danio aesculapii
Lineage: Eukaryota; Metazoa; Chordata; Actinopteri; Cypriniformes; Danionidae
Source: the annotation of a RefSeq genome assembly